GUGGAGGGUCAUUGGAAACUGGAGGACUUGAGUACAGAAGAGGAGAGUGGAAUUCCACGUGUAGCGGUGAAAUGCGUAGAGAUGUGGAGGAACACCAGUGGCGAAGGCGACUCUCUGGUCUGUAACUGACGCUGAGGCGCGAAAGCGUGGGGAGCGAACAGGAUUAGAUACCCUGGUAGUCCACGCCGUAAACGAUGAGUGCUAGGUGUUAGGGGGUUUCCGCCCCUUAGUGCUGAAGUUAACGCAUUAAGCACUCCGCCUGGGGAGUACGGCCGCAAGGCUGAAACUCAAAAGAAUUGACGGGGGCCCGCACAAGCGGUGGAGCAUGUGGUUUAAUUCGACGCAACGCGAAGAACCUUACCAGGUCUUGACAUCCUCUGCAAUCGGUAGAGAUACCGAGUUCCCUUCGGGGACAGAGUGACAGGUGGUGCAUGGUUGUCGUCAGCUCGUGUCGUGAGAUGUUGGGUUAAGUCCCGCAACGAGCGCAACCCUUGAUCUUAGUUGCCAGCAUUUAGUUGGGCACUCUAAGGUGACUGCCGGUGACAAACCGGAGGAAGGUGGGGAUGACGUCAAAUCAUCAUGCCCCUUAUGACCUGGGCUACACACGUGCUACAAUGGAUGGAACAAAGGGAAGCAAAACCGCGAGGUCAAGCAAAUCCCAUAAAACCAUUCUCAGUUCGGAUUGCAGGCUGCAACUCGCCUGCAUGAAGCCGGAAUCGCUAGUAAUCGCGGAUCAGCAUGCCGCGGUGAAUACGUUCCCGGGCCUUGUACACACCGCCCGUCACACCACGAGAGUUGGUAACACCCGAAGUCGGUGAG
RNAcentral lists this ribosomal RNA (819 nucleotides) under Virgibacillus halodenitrificans. RNAcentral's name for it is "bacterial SSU rRNA". It matches the Rfam family "Bacterial small subunit ribosomal RNA", at positions 615 to 1434 of the family's 1533-position model. The record is from RNAcentral. Lineage: Bacteria; Bacillati; Bacillota; Bacilli; Caryophanales; Bacillaceae.